This 404-nucleotide ribosomal RNA is filed under the name uncultured prokaryote. Its description in RNAcentral is "bacterial SSU rRNA". It matches the Rfam family "Bacterial small subunit ribosomal RNA", at positions 355 to 776 of the family's 1533-position model. RNAcentral also lists the same sequence under 1 other name. The record is from RNAcentral.
UGGGGAAUAUUGCACAAUGGGCGAAAGCCUGAUGCAGCAACGCCGCGUGAGCGAUGAAGGCCUUCGGGUCGUAAAGCUCUGUCCUCAAGGAAGAUAAUGACGGUACCUGACUAAGAAGCCCCGGCUAACUACGUGCCAGCAGCCGCGGUAAUACGUAGGGGGCAAGCGUUAUCCGGAUUUACUGGGUGUAAAGGGAGCGCAGACGGAACUGCAAGUCUGAUGUGAAAGCCCGGGGCUCAACCGCGGGACUGCAUCGGAUACUGUGGAUCUGGAGUGCCGGAGGGGCAAGCGGAAUUCCUGGUGUAGCGGUGAAAUGCGUAGAUAUCAGGAGGAACACCGGCGGCGAAGGCGGCUUGCUGGACGGCAACUGACGUUGAGGCUCGAAAGCGUGGGGAGCAAACAGG